CACGUAGGGUGCGAGCGUUGUCCGGAAUUAUUGGGCGUAAAGAGCUCGUAGGUGGCCUGUCGCGUCGGCUGUGAAAACUCGGGGCUCAACUCCGAGCUUGCAGUCGAUACGGGCAGGCUAGAGUUCGGCAGGGGAGACUGGAAUUCCUGGUGUAGCGGUGAAAUGCGCAGAUAUCAGGAGGAACACCGGUGGCGAAGGCGGGUCUCUGGGCCGAUACUGACACUGAGGAGCGAAAGCGUGGGGAGCGAACAGG
Molecule: ribosomal RNA, 253 nt
Filed under: uncultured bacterium
Lineage: Bacteria
Description: partial 16S ribosomal RNA
Rfam family: Bacterial small subunit ribosomal RNA
Source: RNAcentral